CGUUUGAUCAUGGCUCAGGAUAAACGCUGGCGGCGUGCCUAAUGCAUGCAAGUCGCACGGGGUAUCACUUCGGUGGUGCCGAGUGGCGAACGGGUGAGGAACGCGUGGACAACCUACCCCGGCGUGGGGGAUACCCGCCAGAAAUGGCGGCUAAUACCGCGUACGGUCGCCCGACGGCAGGUGGGGCGAAGAAAGCAGCGAUGCGCGCUGGGAGGGGUCUGCGGCCGAUUAGCUGGUUGGCGGGGUAGUGGCCCACCAAGGCGAUGAUCGGUAGCUGGUCUGAGAGGAUGAUCAGCCACACGGGGACUGAGACACGGCCCCGACUCCUACGGGAGGCAGCAGCAAGGAAUUUUCCGCAAUGGGGGCAACCCUGACGGAGCAACGCCGCGUGACGGAUGACGCCUCUUGGGGUGUAAACGUCUUUUGCCGGGGGAGAGAACGGACGGUACCCGGCGAAUCAGGACCGGCUAACUACGUGCCAGCAGCCGCGGUAAUAA
Molecule: ribosomal RNA, 497 nt
Filed under: uncultured bacterium
Lineage: Bacteria
Description: bacterial SSU rRNA
Rfam family: Bacterial small subunit ribosomal RNA
Source: RNAcentral